GGAAGCGAAUUUGAGGCUCAUGCUCUUGCUUCCUCACGUGGCUGCCUUGGCUGUACAAAAACAGGCAGCGUGCUGGAUUUGGCUGGUGCACCACAGCUUGUCAACUCCUGCUCUAAAGCCCAAACUUCGGAGGCACAGACCCAAGUGUGGGUCCCAGCUCAGCCCGUUACUGACUCUGCCGCUUAGCCAGUCCCCCAGCCUCUUAGGUCUCAUCUUACAAAGCUGGUUCUCUCCAUGUCUAUCUGCUGACAAAGCACACUUUCACCCAAAAUGGCUGCUAAGUUUUCUUGUUAAAGUUAAAAUGCCUGUCCCUGAGACUUCAUUUGGACGCUUAGACACAAAGGCCACUCAAAGAAGUCUCACCUACCAGCCUGGUUUCAGCCUCUCGGGUGAAAGAGUCACCCCAAAUCCAAAGAAAGCCGAAGGCAAGUGUGGCUGACAUCUAUCCACAGCAUCUUUAUAAAGGACCAACCCCAAACAGUGCUGACUAAAGUAUAAAUGUGAAUGUGCCACGACCGUCAUCUGUCGUGGUGAAAAUGCCUAAAACUCUUUUCCCAUUUUUCUGAAGAGUCAAGGGACUUCUGCAGUUAGUACUAGUUAAAUAUA
RNAcentral lists this long non-coding RNA (606 nucleotides) under Equus caballus (horse). RNAcentral describes it as "lncRNA (ENSECAG00000052759.1)". The record is from RNAcentral. Lineage: Eukaryota; Metazoa; Chordata; Mammalia; Perissodactyla; Equidae.